AUUGAACGCUGGCGGCAGGCCUAAUACAUGCAAGUCGAACGGAGUGGCGGACGGGCGAGUAAUGCCUAAGAACCUGCCUGGUAGUGGGGGAUAACGGGCGGAAACGGGCGCUAAUACCGCUUACUAUCCGCUGAGGCGACGGUGGAUUAGCUAGUUGGUGGGGUAUAGGCCUACCAAGGCGACGAUGCGUAACUGGUCUGAGAGGCUGAUCAGCCACACUGGAACUGAGACACGGUCCAGACUCCUACGGGAGGCAGCAGUAGGGAAUCUUGGGCAAUGGGCGAAAGCCUGAUCCAGCCAUGCCGCGUGUGUGAAGAAGGUCUUCGGAUCGUAAAGCACUUUUAGUUGGGAGGCGUUACCUACAGAGUAAGCACCGGCUAACUUCGUGCCAGCAGCCGCGGUAAUAC
This 407-nucleotide ribosomal RNA is filed under the name uncultured bacterium. RNAcentral's name for it is "partial 16S ribosomal RNA". It matches the Rfam family "Bacterial small subunit ribosomal RNA", at positions 30 to 526 of the family's 1533-position model. The record is from RNAcentral.